RNAcentral lists this ribosomal RNA (446 nucleotides) under uncultured bacterium. RNAcentral's name for it is "bacterial SSU rRNA". It matches the Rfam family "Bacterial small subunit ribosomal RNA", at positions 329 to 792 of the family's 1533-position model. The record is from RNAcentral.
GCCCAGACUCCUACGGGAGGCAGCAGUGGGGAAUAUUGCACAAUGGGCGAAAGCCUGAUGCAGCGACGCCGCGUGAAGGAUGAAGUAUUUCGGUAUGUAAACUUCUAUCAGCAGGGAAGAAAAUGACGGUACCUGACUAAGAAGCCCCGGCUAACUACGUGCCAGCAGCCGCGGUAAUACGUAGGGGGCAAGCGUUAUCCGGAAUUACUGGGUGUAAAGGGAGCGUAGACGGUUAAGCAAGUCUGGAGUGAAAGGCGGGGGCCCAACCCCCGGACUGCUCUGGAAACUGUGUAACUAGAGUGCAGGAGAGGUAAGUGGAAUUCCUAGUGUAGCGGUGAAAUGCGUAGAUAUUAGGAGGAACACCAGUGGCGAAGGCGGCUUACUGGACUGUAACUGACGUUGAGGCUCGAAAGCGUGGGGAGCAAACAGGAUUAGAUACCCGCGUA